Long non-coding RNA from Nothoprocta perdicaria, 88 nucleotides. RefSeq lists it as uncharacterized. The transcript is spliced from 2 exons. NCBI's taxonomy places the organism in Eukaryota, Metazoa, Chordata, Aves, Tinamiformes, Tinamidae. The record is from RefSeq and is a predicted model, not a curated record.
AGCCCAUUAGAGGAGAAUGGAAAACUUCUAACAGGAUAAGAACUGAGUUGUUCCUGUAUCCCUCGUAGGAGGGCUCUGUACAGACCUC